AGUGUCACCCGAUCUCUCCUCUGUGUGUGUGUGGGUAGACAAGUGUGUGUGGGUGUGUAUGUGUGUGUGUGGUGGGGGGCUUUUUUCUUUAGGGGGUGAGGGCGCCUCAUUGGCUGCCAUGCUAGGGUCAAGCUGAGGUCAGGACAUGUGUGAUGGAUGGAUCUCUGUCUCUAGACCACGGCCCUUCUCCCAUGCAGUCGUCUCUCCUCCUCUGGGCCUCAGAGCUGCUAAAGAGUCCCGGCUGUGCUCUCCCCUCCUCUCCUCACAUCUCUUUGUGUUUGCUCCACGCUGCCGAGCACAGGACUGCUUCAGCUGACAAACAUGGAGCUCAAAGAAAACUGCAGACAACUCUCUGAGAAUCUCCAGAAGGUCCCGGCUGACAUUUUUCUUUUAUUAUUAUGGAUGUGCCCACGCAGAUGAGAGGAGGGGAGAGGGCCACCCGAGUUUUCUCCACGUCGAAUCAAGAGGAGAGAAAAAACAUUUGAGGAGCUUUUAUCUGCAGCCAUUUCUUUUCGAAUGUAGAAUACUGAAUGUUGAUUAUGGCAAAUAAUUCUACUUUUUUGUGUGCGUAAAUAACAAACAUAUAGAUUGUCCUAUUCAUUUUUUUAUUAUUAUAAUAAUCAUUGUUAUUAUCCUAAAUGUAUUUUUGCUUUUCUGUUAUCAUCUUUAAUACCAGGAUGACAUUUUUAACAAUAAUAAAACUGAAUGAUUAAAUAUUAGAAUUUUAUUUCUAAGCUGCUUUGUAUUUGAUUUUGUGAUGGGAUGCGUUUGGACUUAAAACUGAAGAAUAUGCUACAAUUAUAUUUCAAUUAUUUUUAUUCAUUUCUUCGAACUGGAGCAGCAUGGAAUGUAUGACAUCGAAAAGAAAAUUGAUGAUGGUCUGUUCCUUUUUUUUCUUCAAUAAAGAAACUGCUAACGUGUGUCCCUUGUCCUUCCACACUUAUUGCAUGACUGAUUGAUUUUACAUUGGUGGAGAAAAACAAAAUACCUCCUCGAA
Non-coding RNA from Paralichthys olivaceus (Japanese flounder), 997 nucleotides. The record is from RefSeq and is a predicted model, not a curated record. Lineage: Eukaryota; Metazoa; Chordata; Actinopteri; Pleuronectiformes; Paralichthyidae.